AAAAUUUAAUUUUUUUUAUGUUAACCUAACACAAGAGCAUUUCAAGUAAGAUUAAAAGAAAAAGAAGGAACUCGGCAAAUAUUAACCUCGCCUGUUUACCAAAAACAUCGCCUCUUGCCCCAAUAUAAGAGGUCCAGCCUGCCCAGUGACUCUGUUCAACGGCCGCGGUAUCCUAACCGUGCGAAGGUAGCGUAAUCACUUGUUCUUUAAAUGAGGACUAGUAUGAACGGCACCACGAGGGUUAUACUGUCUCCUUUUUCCAAUCAGUGAAACUAAUCCCCCCAUGAAGAAGCGGGGAUAAACAUAUAAGACGAGAAGACCCUAUGGAGCUUUAAACUCAAUAACACUUGCUUUUAAACAUAAAUACUUCAGAGUAAUAAACACCCAUUACGGCCUCCUGAUUAUUAGUUUUAGGUUGGGGUGACCGCGGAGCAAAAAACAACCUCCACAUUGAACGGGGAACAUCCCCUGAGCCACGAGCCACAACUCUAUGCACCAAUAAAUUGACAUCUCUUGACCCAAUAUAUUGAUCAACG
Molecule: ribosomal RNA, 536 nt
Filed under: Hyla molleri
Lineage: Eukaryota; Metazoa; Chordata; Amphibia; Anura; Hylidae
Description: partial 16S ribosomal RNA
Rfam family: Bacterial large subunit ribosomal RNA
Source: RNAcentral